AAGACGAAGGAGUUGUCUAGUGUCAGCUUGCAUAAAGAGAAGAGUAUCAUCAGCAUAUGGAAUUAUUAGAAAAUGAUUUGUGUCUCUAUUUGGCAGGGGUAGUCCAAAGGAGGCCAUGGGUGUAGCCUUUGUUGAUGAUACUUUGUGACAAUCUGUAGCUAAGACAAGCAGCAGUGGAGAAACGGGGGUCUCCUUGUCUAACACCUUUUUACAACUGAAUUCCUUACCAGGCACUCCAUUGAGAAGAACUGAAGAAAUACCUGAGCCUAGGAUACUCUUGAUCUAGAUAAUCCAUCUGGUUGGGAAGCCCAUGGCUGUCAUGAUCUGCAAAAUAGCAGCAUGUUCUACUUAUCAAAAGCUUUUUUGAAGUCCAACUUUAGCAAAAUUAUUUCUCUUCUCAAGUAGUGACAUUGAUGGAGAAUUUCAAAAUUCUAUCCAAGGCAGACUUGUAUAGUCCUUCCUUGCAAAAUAAGACAUGUUAAUUUUUGUGAAUAACAUUCAAAAUCUUGAGUACUCAGCAAAGAAAUGGGUCUGAAAUCUCAGUCCCUCACUGGAUUAUUUUUCUUGGGACAUAGUAAUAUAAGAGGAAUUCAACCAAGUGAGAUCAAUGUUAUUGAUAUAGAAAUCAUGGCACAAGAAGUAAAAAUCUAGCUUUAUUGAUUCACAACAAGUCUUGAAAAAAAGCCGAUUAAUGUUAUCAGGGCCAGAGGCUUUAUCAGUAUAAUAGCAUCAAUCUCUUUGGAUGAAAAAGGAAGGCUUGAAUCCUUAGGAGUAGGCAUGAUCAGAUCAUAUAGGUUAAAGACCAUUUGUGGAUUAGAAGUAGCCCAUCCUUUCUUUAAAUUUUUUUUUAGAAAAGGGAAGCCUUCUCUGCAUGGCCAGUCAUAGUUCUACCAUUUAGUCCUAUGAUAUGAGCAAUAGCAUUUCUUCUAAAACUCCCAGUAGCCAUUCAACAAAAAAAUUGUGUUCUCAUCCCUAAACUUGACCAGAUUAUUAGUGGACUAUUGUUUACAAUGGAUCUGUUGAUACUUUAGGAGCUUUCCUAAAUGGUCUUUAAUAAUUAAUCUAAACUUUCCUCUAGCGCAAAAGAUCAUUGCCUUCCUCUAGAUCAUUUUCAGUAAGGAAAGGACUCCAUUGCAAAAUUCUUGAUCAAAAGAGCCAAAUCUAAUAUAUUUUUGUCCCAAGCUUUCACUAAGAUUGUUGCGAAGCUGUUUCAAUUUGACAGAAAUGAGGCGAGAUGGCCCUACACUACGGGAUUCAUUGGCUUUGCCUAGUGCCCAACACACUCAGCAAAGCACAGAAUACACUCAGGAAAGCCUUUGCAGAGUGUAGCACUCGGCAAAGAGCACUCGGCAAAGAAUACAUUGGCAAAGAGCUCUUCGUCGAGUGUAGAUUGUCAAACCCUCGACAAAGAAAAGCACUUGACAAAUAAAAAUCCAAAAAAAAAAAUAGCAAAAAAAUCAGGAAAGGCCCCCAUUAGCCAGUGUCCCGCCAUUUUUGUUAAAGUCGCAAGUCACAGUAUUUUUGUGCAAAUUCGCAAUUACGUGGCUGGUUUGAUUCGAAUCCGUGACCUCUCCCUCACGUCUAACUCACUCUACCACUACACUACAACAUCACAUAUGUCUAGACUUCGUUUUGCUUCCAACAUAUUAUAUUCAACCAAGUGUAAAUUGCUUGUUUAAGACCCUAAACAAAUUCAAAUCAAAAUAUUGUCAACUACAACAUUUAUAGUCUUUUGAGAUCUACAACUUUUAUUUUAAUAGCUUCUACAUCUGAGAUCGUUUACAAAAUUUGAGAAAUUCAAACAUAGUUUUUGUAGACAAGAUGAUUUCAAAUCAAAAGGUUUUCAAAUACAAAGUUUUAUGACUUUUUGAGAUCUAUAACUUUUAUUU
RNAcentral lists this long non-coding RNA (1889 nucleotides) under Sorghum bicolor (sorghum). Its description in RNAcentral is "long non-coding RNA (SBIC_LNC017078)". The record is from RNAcentral. Lineage: Eukaryota; Viridiplantae; Streptophyta; Magnoliopsida; Poales; Poaceae.